Molecule: long non-coding RNA, 343 nt
Organism: Archocentrus centrarchus (flier cichlid)
Lineage: Eukaryota; Metazoa; Chordata; Actinopteri; Cichliformes; Cichlidae
Exons: 3
Source: RefSeq, a predicted model, not a curated record
CAUGCCAUCUCACACGGGCAUGGCAUGCAGUCUGGUCCAGAUAUCUGUAAACUGUUUGAAAUGGCUUAAUUAAAUGUAAUAAUUGGACUCCUUAUUCCGUUGUAUUGUCUCAUUCCUGUUUGAUAAAUGAACAUGCCGGAACCUGGGAGGAUAAGCUGGUUUUUUUAGGUUCCUUCAGAGCCAAGCGUAACGAUCUUAUUCAGGCCGUCUCAUCUCUGCACGCUGCCUAAUUAAGGUGGAUGUGACCAUGGAGGAGCCACAAAGGAGGAGGAGCUUUGAUGCCAGGUGGUCAGCAGCAGGAAGCAUGAAGUGCUCUAAAACGUCCUGGUAGACGGCCGCGUUG